GCCCCGAUCGUCCAGCCCGGCCAAGGACACCGGCCUUUCAAGCCGGUAACGCGGGUUCAAAUCCCGCUCGGGGCA
This 75-nucleotide transfer RNA is filed under the name Candidatus Iainarchaeum sp. RNAcentral describes it as "tRNA-Glu". It matches the Rfam family "tRNA". Rfam says of the family: Transfer RNA (tRNA) molecules are approximately 80 nucleotides in length. Their secondary structure includes four short double-helical elements and three loops (D, anti-codon, and T loops). Further hydrogen bonds mediate the characteristic L-shaped molecular structure. tRNAs have two regions of fundamental functional importance: the anti-codon, which is responsible for specific mRNA codon recognition, and the 3' end, to which the tRNAs corresponding amino acid is attached (by aminoacyl-tRNA synthetases). tRNAs cope with the degeneracy of the genetic code in two manners: having more than one tRNA (with a specific anti-codon) for a particular amino acid; and 'wobble' base-pairing, i.e. permitting non-standard base-pairing at the 3rd anti-codon position. Lineage: Archaea; Nanobdellati; Candidatus Iainarchaeota; Candidatus Iainarchaeia; Candidatus Iainarchaeales; Candidatus Iainarchaeaceae. The record is from RNAcentral.